GUUGUUUGGGAAUGCUGCUCAAAAUGGGAGGUAAACCCCUUCUAAAGCUAAAUACCGGCCAGAGACCGAUAGCGCACAAGUAGAGUGAUCGAAAGAUGAAAAGCACUUUGAAAAGAGAGUUAAAAAGCACGUGAAAUUGUUGAAAGGGAAGCGCUUGCGACCAGACUUGCGCCCGUCGGAUCAGCCGUCGCUUGCGGCGGUGCACUCCGGCGGGCUCAGGCCAGCAUCGGUUCGCCUGGGGGGAGAAAGGCGGUGGGAAUGUGGCUCUUCGGAUGUUAUAGCCCGCCGCGUAAUACCCUCGGGCGGACCGAGGACCGCGCGUAUGCAAGGAUGCUGGCGUAAUGGUCGUCAGCG
RNAcentral lists this ribosomal RNA (354 nucleotides) under Yunnania carbonaria. RNAcentral describes it as "LSU rRNA". It matches the Rfam family "Eukaryotic large subunit ribosomal RNA", at positions 269 to 646 of the family's 3401-position model. Lineage: Eukaryota; Fungi; Ascomycota; Sordariomycetes; Microascales; Microascaceae. The record is from RNAcentral.